This 301-nucleotide ribosomal RNA is filed under the name uncultured bacterium. RNAcentral's name for it is "partial 16S ribosomal RNA". It matches the Rfam family "Bacterial small subunit ribosomal RNA", at positions 509 to 808 of the family's 1533-position model. The record is from RNAcentral.
CAGCCGCCACGGUAAUACGUAGGUGGCAAGCGUUGUCCGGAAUUAUUGGGCGUAAAGCGAGCGCAGGCGGUUAGAUAAGUCUGAAGUUAAAGGCUGUGGCUUAACCAUAGUACGCUUUGGAAACUGUUUAACUUGAGUGCAAGAGGGGAGAGUGGAAUUCCAUGUGUAGCGGUGAAAUGCGUAGAUAUAUGGAGGAACACCGGUGGCGAAAGCGGCCCUCUGGCUUGUAACUGACGCUGAGGCUCGAAAGCGUGGGGAGCAAACAGGAUUAGAUACCCCAGUAGUCCCUGUCUCUUAUACA